This 2606-nucleotide ribosomal RNA is filed under the name groundwater metagenome. Its description in RNAcentral is "bacterial LSU rRNA". It matches the Rfam family "Bacterial large subunit ribosomal RNA", at positions 1 to 2479 of the family's 2925-position model. The record is from RNAcentral.
GUAAGUUAUGAAGGGCGCACGGUGGAUGCCUAGGUGCUAAGGACUGAAGAAGGGCGUGGCAAGCUGCGAUAAGCUGCGGGGAGUUGCAAGCUGACAUAGAUCCGCAGAUACCCGAAUGGGGGAACCCGGCAUAUGAUAGUCAUGUGUCGCCGUCUACUGAAUAGAUAGGUAGCGCGGCGGGAACCCAGGGAACUGAACCAUCUAAGUACCUGGAGGAAAAGAAAAUAAUAAUGAUUCCCUAAGUAGUGGCGAGCGAAAGGGGAAGAGCCUAAACCGGCCAAGGCGUAUAAGCCUGGAAGCGUUGCCUGGCUGGGGUCGUGGGGCUGCACGUCGUCUCGUUUCAGAGGGACGGACGGGUAUGUGGCCAUGGUAGCCGAAAGGUCUGGAAAGGCCUGCUAUAGGGGGUGAUAGCCCCGUAGGCGAAACCAUGGGAGGCCUGUGGUGUAGAACCCGAGUACUACGGGAUCUGGGUAAGCUCGUGGGAAUUAGCGUGGACCGUCACGUAAGGCUAAAUAUUACUUAGCGACCGAUAGUGAAACAGUACCGUGAGGGAAAGGUGAAAAGCAUGCCGACGAGGCAAGUGAAAGAGAACCUGAAACCGUGUGCCUGCAAGCAGUCAAAGGGCUAUGCAUUGCUUCGGCGAUGAAUGCCUGAUGGCGUGCCUAUAGAAGAAUGAUCCGACGAGUUACCGUAUGUGGCGAGGUUAAGCCGGGAAUGGCGGAGCCGUAGCGAAAGCGAGUCUGAAUAGGGCGAUAGUCGUAUGCGGUAGACCCGAAACUAGGUGAGCUACCCUUGGUCAGGAUGAAGCCCUGGUAACACAGGGUGGAGGUCCGCAUGCCUCAACGUUGAAAAGUUGAGCAAUGAACUGUGGGUAGGGGUGAAAAGCCAAUCGAACCUAGAGAUAGCUGGUUCUCCCCGAAAUAGUUUUAGGACUAGCCUCGGAGUGUAGACUAAUGGGGGUAGAGCGCUGGAUGGGCUAGGGGGCAUACCAGCUUACCAAACCCAACCAAACUGCGAAUACCAUUAGUUGGUCUCCGGGAGUCAGGCAGUGGGGGAUAAGCUUCAUUGCCGCGAGGGAAACAGCCCAGACCGCCGGUUAAGGUCCUUAAGUUCACGCUAAGUGGUAAAGGAUGUGAAGAUCCUUAGACAGCCAGGAUGUUGGCUUAGAAGCAGCCAUUCAUUUAAAGAGUGCGUAAUAGCUCACUGGUCGAGGGUCUUUGCGCCUAAAAUGUAACGGGGCUAAAGCGUGGCACCGAAACCGCGGCUUUUGUGACAUUUCGUAUGUCAUGAAGGGGUAGGGGAGCGUUCUGCAGUAGGAUGAAGGUAUACCGUAAGGAGUGCUGGACGAGGCAGAAAUGAGAAUGUCGGAACGAGUAGCGAUAAGACAGGAGAGAAACCUGUUCGCCGUAAGCCUAAGGUUUCCUGGGGAAGGUUAAUCCUCCCAGGGUUAGUCGGUCCUAAGCUGAGGUCGAGAGACGUAGGUGAAGGGAAUCAGGUUAAUAUUCCGUACCAUGGGUUGGCUGGGUUAUCGAUGGAGUGACGCAGGAGGGUAUGGCCGCACGACGGGGGCGCAAGCAGUCGUGUCGAAGGGUGCAGGCGAGACUGGAUAGGGAAAUCCGUUCAGUUGUUAAGCUGAGGCCUGAUAGGCUCCCGAAUUGAGUAGGGGGUGUGACCAGAUCCCAUGCUGCCGAGAAAAGCUUCUAAGAGAGGCUGAUCCGUGACCGUACCGCAAACCGACACAGGUGGGCGAGGAGAGAAUCCUAAGGCGCUCGAAAGAACCCACGUUAAGGAACUAGGCAAAUUAACUCCGUAACUUCGGGAGAAGGAGUGCUCCGGUAGUGUGACAACCAUGCGCGAGAGUAAUCGAGUGUAGCGGUUGGUAGCAUGAGGGAGUCGCAGAGAAUAGGCUCAGGCGACUGUUUAUCAAAAACACAGGACUCUGCUAAGGCGAAUAGCCGAAGUAUAGGGUCUGACGCCUGCCCAAUGCUGGAAGGUUACGGGGAGGGGUCAGAAGUGGUAACACUUCGAAGCUCUGAACUUAAGCCCCAGUGAAUGGCGGCCGUAACUAUAACGGUCCUAAGGUAGCGAAAUCCCUUGUCGGGUAAGUUCCGACCCGCAUGAAUGGCGUAACGGUCUGAGCACUGUCUCAACGUGGGGUUCGGCGAAACUGUGAACUGGGUGAAGACGCCCAGUACCCGUAUCAGGACAAAAAGACCCCGUGGAGCUUUACUGUAACUUGCUAUUGGAUUUUGGCCUUGUAUGUAGAGCAUAGGUGGGAGACUAUGAAGCUAGGGCGCAAGCCUUGGUGGAGUCACCAGUGGAAUACCACCCUUAUGAGUCUGGAAUUCUAACCAUCGCCCGUUGAUCCGGGUGUGGGACAGUGGCAGGCGGGCAGUUUGACUGGGGCGGUCGCCUCCCAAAAUGUAACGGAGGCGUCCAAAGGUUCCCUCAGCGUGAUUGGAAACCACGCGUAGAGUGCAAAGGCAAAAGGGAGCUUGACUGUGAGGCAAACGAGCCGAACAGGGACGAAAGUCGGGCUUAGUGAUCCGGUGGUUCCGAAUGGAAGGGCCAUCGCUCAACGGAUAAAAGCUACCCCGGGGAUAACA